Molecule: long non-coding RNA, 2572 nt
Filed under: Fukomys damarensis (Damara mole-rat)
Lineage: Eukaryota; Metazoa; Chordata; Mammalia; Rodentia; Bathyergidae
Description: lncRNA (ENSFDAG00000026037.1)
Source: RNAcentral
CGCUCGGUAUUUCCCCGCCCACCUCCCUGGCCCCGCCCCACCCGGGCCUUCUCCAAGCUCCCUGAAGGGCAGCACCUGGGCUGAUUCCUGGGCAUGGAUCCUCCCAGGCCUGAUGGUGGCGGCGCGGAAGUCACAGGUGGGCUGGCCACCCUGUCCUCCUCCUCUCACUGUGUUUGAGCCAUCAGGGCCCCACCGCCCACCGCUCGGUAUUUCCCCGCCCACCUCCCUGGCCCCGCCCCACCCGGGCCUUCUCCAAGCUCCCUGAAGGGCAGCACCUGGGCUGAUUCCUGGGCAUGGAUCCUCCCAGGCCUGAUGGUGGCGGCGCGGAAGUCACAGGUGGGCUGGCCACCCUGUCCUCCUCCUCUCACUGUGUUUGAGCCAUCACCACCUUGUAUAGAUGUCCAGAGACGCACAGAUUCUCCGGACGCGUGCGCGGCGCACACUCACGCACACAACCUCGCGCAGACACAACGCACCUGCGCACAAAGCACUUUGUGACCAUGUGAGAAGCAGAACACGGUUUGGCGUUGGGCGAAGGCCGGAACUCAGCCGGCCCUUGCUUCUGCCGCUGGGUCGGAAGCCAUGGUCUCGGCGGAGGCGGCGGAGGAAGGAGAACCUUGGGCGCGGGCUGCGCCACCGCAAGUCCAGGCCGCAGACCAGGACCUGGAAACCGGGUUUCCAGACACCGCCUGACCUCGCCAUGUGUGCUCGGGUUUGGUCCAUGGAGCCACAAGGCCACUAGAGGAGCUGGUGCGUGAGAGCUGCCAUACCAGACAAAUCUCCAGCUGAGCUCCUGCUACCCAUCCCACACCUUGGGGUCUUCAUCUAUAGAUGUGGAAAAGACUACUUAUUACUGUGAGUUGUUAUGGGCUUAGUGCCAAUGGAUAAAUACUGCUGCUGUUGUUUUAUUAUGCAAAUCUCAAGGCACUGUCGCAUUCUCAAGCUGGUACAUAAUGAAAAUCAAGGAGUCACUAAUGCAUUCUUCAUCGCACCUUGACAUGACUUUUAUGUGACAUUCAGCUGGAGCAGUUGCGAUCCGCUCUUCAUUUGCUAUUCUGAGCUUGGAGUGCAGGGCAACUAGCUCAUCAAUUCAAUGAGUUGAUUCUUCUAUUUAAAAUGAGCAUUCUGUUUGUGAGAAGGCCACGGGUUCCUGCUUGCACCUGGUAUCUCAAGGUUGAGCAGUGAACUGGCCAAGGCUCUGGUGGGGUCAUGGAAUUUCUCAAAUCUAUUAAGACUGUGUGAACUUGCAUCUAUUUGGAGACACUUGGAAGGUGAAUUAAGCAAGAGCUCAGAUUUCCCAGUGAGCAACUGUAGAAUUUUAAUUAGCUUUGAGUCUGUUUCUCUGCUGGAAAUAGCAGAUCUCUGAGCAUUUCUUCAAUAGCAUUACAGUAAUUAUAACAAUUCUGCAGGGAAUAAUUUACAGGAUGUAUUUUUGUAAGCUUAGCAGAAUAAGAAAGGCCACAUCCAGUUCUUAUAUGCAUGCCUGAAGUUGCUGUCAAAUAGAGGUUUAACAGUGUUAGCAGGAGAGUCAAUCAUUUGGUUUAUGCUGUGGCAGUGUUGUACAACGGGACUUUGCGAUAGUAGAAAUGUUAAGUACCUGUGGCCACCAACCACACGUGGCUGCUGAGCACUUGAAAUGUGGUUAGAUGCAUCAAGGACUGAAUUCCUAGCUACACUUCAUUUUAAUUAUAUGAAAUUUAAAUAUGCAGCUAGUGGCUCCUACAUUGGAAAGCACAGCACUGAGAAACUAACUGGGGUUCCCUUAAGCCACCUGGAGCCUGCCGGGGGGCCAGGAGGGAACCUGAGUGGCACUGAGGGAGCCCCUCAGCCCUUGUACUAGUGUUCAGUGGAAGUUGGGUUCUCUCAUUUAUUAUCCUCUGACUAUUGAAAGCAUCAAAUUAGAGAGAUGGGUACAAAGGCAACAAAACAAAAUGAAACAAUUUAAAAGCAGACCAGGACUCAACAAGGAAAAACAGUGUAGGAUCCUUGAGCACGUGAUCAAGGAGCCUUAUCGCUCCAAAGCAUAGAACUUGUGUUAUGGUUUAGAUCUACAAUGUCCUCCACAGGCUUGUGCAGAGGUUGGGCUUUUAGAAGGUGAUGGGAACAAGGAGGCAUUGCACUCUUCGGUGAAUCAACCCACUAAAUAGUCCGUGGCAGUCAGGGCCUGCUUGAAGAAAGGUCACGGGAGGUGUGACCAGGAAGGCUGCAUCUCCUUCCCCGCCCCACACUUCACUCUCUGCUUCUGGCCGCCAUGACUGAGCAGCUCCCGUGCCCUUCCUGCCUUGGAGCCAGCAGACUCUGGACUGAAUCCUCUGAAAGCUUCAAACCAGAGUAAACCUCUCCUCCUUUAAACUGUGGGUGUCUGGUCUUUUGUCCCAGCAAUGAGUGAGAAGGUGACUAAGAUAACUUGAUGUCUUUGGCCACCAAGAAAAUGUUAAGAGCUCAGGGACAUGUGCUUUAGGAGGACAUGGAGAAAAAAUGAACACGCCACGUCUAAACCUUGGUCCGUUGAAGGUGAUAAAGAUACGAACAGUUUUGGUGCACAAAAGCAUGAGUUUGGGUUACCCGGAGA